RNAcentral lists this unclassified non-coding RNA (200 nucleotides) under Hypocreales sp. RNAcentral's name for it is "partial internal transcribed spacer 2". The record is from RNAcentral. Lineage: Eukaryota; Fungi; Ascomycota; Sordariomycetes; Hypocreales.
UUAAGUUCAGCGGGUAGUCCUACCUGAUCCGAGGUCAACAUAUGGCGGGACCGGGGUCCCUAUGUCGGGGGUUUUACGGCAAGCCCAGCUGCUUCUCCCAGGGCAUCUAACGGUAAAGUUACUGUACCCGGGGCCCGCAGACGGACCGCGCACUUCUGCUUGGGGGCCUAAGGGGGGGCUUCGCGAGAAACCGCCCCCUA